UCGAGAAUCUUCGGCAAUGGGCGAAAGCCUGACCGAGCGACGCCGCGUGGAGGAAGAAGGCCCUUGGGUUGUAAACUCCUGUUGAGAGGGAGGAAAUUUGACCGAUCUCUUGAGGAAGCACAGGCUAAGUUCGUGCCAGCAGCCGCGGUAAGACGAACUGUGCAAACGUUAUUCGGAAUCAUUGGGCUUAAAGGGCGCGUAGGCGGCUUAGUAAGUUGAUGGUGAAAUCCUAACGGCUCAACCGUAGAACUGCCUUCAAUACUGCUAAGCUCGAGUGAGGUAGGGGCAUCUGGAACUUCUAGUGGAGCGGUGAAAUGUGUUGAUAUUAGAAGGAACGCCGGUGGCGAAAGCGAGAUGCUGGCCCUCAACUGACGCUGAGGCGCGAAAGCUAGGGUAGCGAACGGGAUUAGAUACCCCCGUAGUCC
RNAcentral lists this ribosomal RNA (425 nucleotides) under uncultured prokaryote. RNAcentral describes it as "bacterial SSU rRNA". It matches the Rfam family "Bacterial small subunit ribosomal RNA", at positions 355 to 796 of the family's 1533-position model. The record is from RNAcentral.